CUCGUAUGUGCGGAGUGAGCGUGGGAAGUUGGCGUCUGAGUGAGUGUGGACACGCUGGAGUGUGUGUUUUAAGGAGAAAUGCAACAGGUUCCAGGGCCUCUUACCUGCGUGAUUCAUCAUCCAGGUUUUGCACAAAUUGUCUAAAUCCCUACACACAGAACAUUUAUUGUACCGACUAUAAGCCUUUGAGGUGCAGGACUAGAAUAUGCUUGGAGCUUCCUGAUCAGAAUGCUGGCUUCCGACAACCCCUGCACUGAAGAUGGCAUGCAAUCACGUCCUCCCUUGAAGGUCUUUCAAACUGUGAUGCCAGGUCCAUUGGAAUCGGGGUUUCCUUCAGCUUAUCUUCAUAUACCUCAUCAAACACAAGCCUGAUCACAUCAUCCACAUAACUGUAGAAAUAUUGCAGUCAAUAAAUCUUUUGUUUUGAUCAUUUAUUUCCCUGCUUCAUACAUUAAGUUUUUAAUUAUGAAUGUAUUUGAA
Molecule: long non-coding RNA, 480 nt
Organism: Paramisgurnus dabryanus
Lineage: Eukaryota; Metazoa; Chordata; Actinopteri; Cypriniformes; Cobitidae
Source: RefSeq, a predicted model, not a curated record